Molecule: long non-coding RNA, 536 nt
Organism: Gadus macrocephalus (Pacific cod)
Lineage: Eukaryota; Metazoa; Chordata; Actinopteri; Gadiformes; Gadidae
Exons: 2
Source: RefSeq, a predicted model, not a curated record
UGAUGCCAGAGAGAAAGGAUAAGGGUUUGAGAUCCAAGUUCUGUCUGGGUUAGAGUCCUAAAAUCUGGGUUGGGUCCCAGAGAAAGGACCAAGUUCCUUCAGGUCGGGUUGGAGUCCCAGAGAAAGACCUGAGUUCUGUCUGGGUUAGAGUCCCGACGUCUGUCUGGGUUGGAGUCCCAGAAUAAGGCCUUUGGUUCGUGGUUAGAGUCCCGACGUGUGUCUGGGUUAGAGUCCUAGAAUCUGGGUUAGUGUCCUAGAAUAGAGUCCUAGAAUAGAAAUUGACUAGAAUCUGGGUUGGAGGCCCAGAGAAAGGACCAAAUUAUUUUAGGUUGGGUUGGAUCCCGACGUGGGUAUCAGAGAGACUGUUGAUCUGAUCUUAAAUACAUUGCACUUUCUAUUUUACAAAUUUCUUUGCAUAUGUUUUCUUUUACUUAUCUAUUAUUUUAUUUUAUUGUAUGACAAUGUUUAUAUGUGAAGCACUUUGAGUCUGCCUUGUGUAUGAAAAGUGCUAUAUAAAUAAAGUUGCCUUGCCUUGC